RNAcentral lists this ribosomal RNA (301 nucleotides) under uncultured bacterium. Its description in RNAcentral is "partial 16S ribosomal RNA". It matches the Rfam family "Bacterial small subunit ribosomal RNA", at positions 509 to 809 of the family's 1533-position model. The record is from RNAcentral.
CAGCAGCCGCGGGAAUACGUAGGGUGCGAGCGUUAAUCGGAAUUACUGGGCGUAAAGCGUGCGCAGGCGGUUCGUUAAGACAGAUGUGAAAUCCCCGGGCUUAACCUGGGAAUUGCAUUUGUGACUGGCGAGCUAGAGUAUGGCAGAGGGGGGUAGAAUUCCACGUGUAGCAGUGAAAUGCGUAGAGAUGUGGAGGAAUACCGAUGGCGAAGGCAGCCCCCUGGGCCAAUACUGACGCUCAUGCACGAAAGCGUGGGGAGCAAACAGGAUUAGAUACCCGGGUAGUCCCUGUCUCUUAUAA